AAGACUAUACUUCCCUGCAUUAUUGCUAUGGUUCAUUAUUAGAAAAGCUUAUCCAACUGUGUAGAGAACCAGAAGUCAGAAGGAGGAGGUGAGGUGUUCUCUCUUGAGCGUGAAGCCAGCUUUGCACUUUGGGAAAGAAUGCAGUCUGAGCGAC
Molecule: small nucleolar RNA, 154 nt
Organism: Callithrix jacchus (white-tufted-ear marmoset)
Lineage: Eukaryota; Metazoa; Chordata; Mammalia; Primates; Cebidae
Gene: U3
Rfam family: Small nucleolar RNA U3
About the family: Small nucleolar RNAs (snoRNAs) are involved in the processing and modification of rRNA in the nucleolus. There are two main classes of snoRNAs: the box C/D class, and the box H/ACA class.
Source: Ensembl